UUAAUAAUCAUGUGAUCGAGCCCCACCUAUUUUCAUUCUGCAAAUCUCAAGGAUCAGAAAAGUCAUUGUUUUCUUCCCCAAAAAUACAUUCCCCAGCCCUGAGAUACAGCUUGUAUUUUGGUGACAUCAUUUUGAAAGCAAACUAAUUAUUUCACACAAAUGGAAAGCCAUCAUCUCCUUGGAGGUCACCACCAUCAUGGGCAUCAUGGUCACCAUGGUCACCACCACGGUCAUCAUGGUCACUUUGGUCCACCACCUGUCAUUGAUAUACAUGUAGGCGGUGGGGGGCACCAUCACGGUCACCAUCGUCAUCACCAUCACCCUCCCCCUUUUCAUCACCAUCACCCUCACCACCAGCAUCAUGAACGGGUGGAGUGCUGCGUUAUACUUUAAAAAACUAAUAAUGAUAUUAUUAUCAAUAUUAUGUAUCCAUUAUUGUCAUAAAAGAAACUCAUAAUCUAUGAUAUUGUCAUUGGUGGUUUAGCCUUUCCUUAAACUUUAUUAUUAUUAUUAUUAUUAUUAUUAUUAUAUUAUCAUUAUUAAUUGAUAUGAAUCAAUAAUUGAUUACUAAUCAAAUUUUAGCAACAACACAUCUUAGAUAAUCCAAGAUGCUCAUUGCUGCUAAAAUCUAACUAUGAUUUGGAGCUGAUUAUCAUUAAUUUAAAUAUUUCUCUCAGUCAUGUAACUGCCAACUCAA
Molecule: long non-coding RNA, 697 nt
Organism: Amphimedon queenslandica
Lineage: Eukaryota; Metazoa; Porifera; Demospongiae; Haplosclerida; Niphatidae
Exons: 2
Source: RefSeq, a predicted model, not a curated record